UUGAUUCACCACCAAGCUACUUUGGCGCCAAGCUACUUGAAGCCUAAGUAAAGAUGAGCCAGCCAAACGUCUAUAAGAAGACCCCCAAUGCCAACAUUGGGGAAAAAGCCCUUGGACUCCCAAGCUUCAAGAGCUAUCCUAAGAGCCAGUAAGGCUUCCCUAGAAAGCUUAUUGAAGAUUUUAAGAUCCAGGUAGAAGUUACAAGCC
This 207-nucleotide long non-coding RNA is filed under the name Elaeis guineensis (African oil palm). RNAcentral describes it as "long non-coding RNA (EGUI_LNC065491)". Lineage: Eukaryota; Viridiplantae; Streptophyta; Magnoliopsida; Arecales; Arecaceae. The record is from RNAcentral.